UACGUAGGGGCGAGCGUUAUCCGGAAUUACUGGGCGUAAAGAGCUCGUAGGUGGUUUGUCACGUCGUCUGUGAAAUUCCGGGGCUUAACCUCGGGCGUGCAGGCGAUACGGGCAAUACUUGAGUGCUGUAGGGGAGACUGGAAUUCCUGGUGUAGCGGUGGAAUGCGCAGAUAUCAGGAGGAACACCGGUGGCGAAGGCGGGUCUCUGGGCCUUACCUGACGCUGAGGAGCGAAAGCAUGGGUAGCGAACAGGAUUAGAUACCCUGGUAGU
RNAcentral lists this ribosomal RNA (271 nucleotides) under uncultured prokaryote. RNAcentral's name for it is "partial 16S ribosomal RNA". It matches the Rfam family "Bacterial small subunit ribosomal RNA", at positions 524 to 794 of the family's 1533-position model. The record is from RNAcentral.